This 161-nucleotide long non-coding RNA is filed under the name Dermacentor andersoni. Its description in RNAcentral is "uncharacterized LOC126528601". Lineage: Eukaryota; Metazoa; Arthropoda; Arachnida; Ixodida; Ixodidae. The record is from RNAcentral.
UGCUAAUGGUGCAUUUCAAGCGUGCCCUCGACUACUGCCAUUAAUAGUUGCCCGACUGAGUAUUUUGGGCCUAACUAAGCUAAUGAUGUUCGAUAAUUGUUCUCCUAUUCGCAUUACUUGCCUGGGCCAGGUAACCAAAAUAAACAAUGCCACCACAUGAA